RNAcentral lists this ribosomal RNA (250 nucleotides) under uncultured bacterium. RNAcentral's name for it is "partial 16S ribosomal RNA". It matches the Rfam family "Bacterial small subunit ribosomal RNA", at positions 524 to 773 of the family's 1533-position model. The record is from RNAcentral.
UACGGAGGGUGCAAGCGUUAUCCGGAUUCACUGGGUUUAAAGGGUGCGUAGGCGGGUAUGUAAGUCAGGGGUGAAAUCUUAGAGCUUAACUCUAAAACUGCCUUUGAUACUAUGUAUCUUGAAUUUCCUGGAGGUUAGCGGAAUAUGUCAUGUAGCGGUGAAAUGCUUAGAUAUGACAUAGAACACCGAUUGCGAAGGCAGCUGACUACGGGUAGAUUGACGCUGAGGCACGAAAGCGUGGGGAUCAAAC